CAGUCGCCGCGGGAAUACGUAGGUGGCAAGCGUUGUCCGGAAUUAUUGGGCGUAAAGGGCUCGCAGGCGGUUUCUUAAGUCCGAUGUGAAAGCCCCCGGCUCAACCGGGGGAGGGUCAUUGGAAACUGGGAAACUUGAGUGCAGAAGAGGAGAGUGGAAUUCCACGUGUAGCGGCGAAAUGCGUAGAGAUGUGGAGGGACACCAGUGGCGAAGGCGACUCUCUGGUCUGUAACUGACGCUGAGGAGCGAAAGCGUGGGGAGCGAACAGGAUUAGAUACCCGGGUAGUCCCUGUCUCUUAUC
Molecule: ribosomal RNA, 301 nt
Filed under: uncultured bacterium
Lineage: Bacteria
Description: partial 16S ribosomal RNA
Rfam family: Bacterial small subunit ribosomal RNA
Source: RNAcentral